RNAcentral lists this long non-coding RNA (1649 nucleotides) under Homo sapiens (human). Its description in RNAcentral is "PREDICTED lncRNA (TCONS_00261007)". The record is from RNAcentral. Lineage: Eukaryota; Metazoa; Chordata; Mammalia; Primates; Hominidae.
UGAUGGUAAAUACCGAGUGUCGACUGGAUUGAAGGAUGCAAAGUAUUGAUCCUGGGUGUGUCUGUGAGGGUGUUGCCAAAGGAGGUUAACAUUUGAGUCAGUGGGCUGGGGAAGGCAGAUCCAACCUCAAUCUGGUGCGCCAUCUAAUAAGCUGCCAAUGAAUAUAAAGCAGGCAGAAAAACAUAAGAAGGUGAGACUGGCCUAGCCUCCCAGCCUGCAUCUUUCUCCCAUGCUGAAUGCUUCCUGUCCUCGAACAUCAGACUCCAAGUUCUUUAGUUUUGAGACUCGGACUGGCUUCCUUGCUCCUCAAGCUUGCAGACAGCCUAUUGUGGGACCUUGUGAUCAUGGUCUUAACUCUGUCACCCAGGCUGGAGUGCAGUGGUGUGACCACAGCCACUGCAGGCUCAACCUCUGGGACUCAGGUGAUCCUCCCAUCUCAGCCUCCCAAGUAGCUGGGACUACAGGUUGCUUCUUCCAGAUCCCUUUUGAUCUACUUUCAGCUAUGGAUUCAUGAGAAUCAAGACUAAGCAGCCUGAAUUGAAGGAGUAACAGUAUCACCUAACAAUGAUUUUGCUGCCAUAGUAGCUGUUUGUAUACUGGCCAUAUGCCUAGGUAAAAUGAGGCCAGAUCACUCUCAAGAGUUUUCUAUCAGAGUUGGUGGUGAACUACUGCUCACGGAUAAUGCUGUACUGGUCUGGAGCUGCACAUUCUUUUCAGACAACUCUUGUUCCAGCUAGAGUGCAAUGGUGCAACCUCAGCUCACUGCAACCUCCGCUUCCCAGGUUCAAGCGAUUCUCCUGCUUCAGCCUCCCUGGUUGCUGGGAUUACAGGUGACUCUUCUCCUGUAACAGAGCCUCCUUCUUAGAAACUAUGGCCUCCCGUUUCUUUAAGUCUGCUUCCAGCUCCUCUAAUUCUUGGCGUUGGUUCAGAACUUUCUCUACUUCUUCAUCUAACCAUUUCUUUUGCUCAUCCAAUUUCUACAUUAAAAUUAAAAAAAAAGUUACUUGUUUUUCCUUCUGCCAUAAAAAUUAUAUGGUAAUAAUAGAAUUUCAGAUUGGCUGAAAUCUCUUAAAUGAACAUUUAAAAACUAUCACUCAGAGUAACUCAGGUAGCCGUCUGAGAUCCUAAAGACAUCAGUGGUUCUAGUCAAGAUGUAGCUAUGUUGUUUUAUAAAGAAUUAAAAUUUACUCCCCAGAUAUGUUAAACAGUCUAGGAUUUUUUAGCCUGACGAAGAAAGGGCUGAUAAUUUUCUAUGCCUAUAUUAAGAACAUGCUGGAAUCUUUUACUCUGUUGUAGUGGUGCACAGUUCCAUCACAGCACUUACACUGGUGGCUGCCCUACGUAUCUAUCUCCCCAGCUUGAGCUCCUUGAUUGAUUGCAGGGGCUGUAGUUUUUACCCGUCUAUCCACAUGGCUGGUAUAUUGCCUGGGCCACAGUAGGCAUUCAAUAAAAUGUUAAAUGAAUGAGUGAAUGAAUGCCUGAUUCAGUCAGUCAAUGAAGUGAAUAAAUGAAUACACACAGUGGAAGACACAGAUGAUGGAGGAUGGAAGGAAAGCCAAUUUGCAUUGUAGCUUGUCAACCUCAAAUAAUUAUUUUUAAAAAAGAAAAAAAACAAAAAUAAAAAAUUGCUGAAAAGAUCUCCAAAACAA